GAUGAACGCUGGCGGCGUGCCUAAUACAUGCAAGUCGAACGCGCAGCGAAAGGUGCUUGCACCUUUCAAGCGAGUGGCGAACGGGUGAGUAACACGUAGAUAACCUGCCUCAAGGCUGGGGAUAACAUUUGGAAACAGAUGCUAAUACCGAAUAAAACUUAGUAUCGCAUGAUACAAAGUUGAAAGGCGCUACGGCGUCACCUAGAGAUGGGUCCGCGGUGCAUUAGUUAGUUGGUGGGUAAAGGCCUACCAAGACAAUGAUGCAUAGCCGAGUUGAGAGACUGAUCGGCACAUUGGGACUGAGACACGGCCCAAAACUCCUACGGGAGGCUGCAGUAGGGAAUCUUCCACAAUGGGCGAAAGCCUGAUGGAGCAACGCCGCGUGUGUGAUGAAGGCUUUAGGGUCGUAAAGCACUGUUGUAUGGGAAGAAAUGCUAGAAUAGGGAAUGAUUCAGUUCGACGGUACCAUACCAGAAAGGGACGGCUAAAUACGU
Molecule: ribosomal RNA, 494 nt
Filed under: uncultured bacterium
Lineage: Bacteria
Description: bacterial SSU rRNA
Rfam family: Bacterial small subunit ribosomal RNA
Source: RNAcentral